UCCCGGUUGGCCCGGGCAGUCUCGCCUGAAAUUACAACAGACGACAAGGGUUGCGCUCGUUGCGGGACUUAACCCAACAUCUCACGACACGAGCUGACGACGGCCAUGCAGCACCUGUCACCAGGCUCCCGAGGGCACUCCACAGUUUCUUGCGGAUUCCUGGGAUGUCAAGCCUUGGUAAGGUUCUUCGCGUAUCGUCAAAUUAAACCACAUCAUCCACCGCUUGUGCGGGUCCCCGUCAAUUCCUUUGAGUUUUAGCCUUGCGGCCGUACUCCCCAGGCGGCACACUUAUCGCGUUAGCUUCUCCACACAGGGGGUCGAUACCCCAUAUGGAUAGUGUGCAUCGUUUACGGCGUGGACUAC
RNAcentral lists this unclassified non-coding RNA (363 nucleotides) under uncultured bacterium. RNAcentral's name for it is "contains 16S-23S intergenic spacer region". The record is from RNAcentral.